Molecule: non-coding RNA, 78 nt
Organism: Potamilus streckersoni
Lineage: Eukaryota; Metazoa; Mollusca; Bivalvia; Unionida; Unionidae
Source: the annotation of a GenBank genome assembly
GUUCUGGUGGCUUAGUGGUUAGGGCAUCCGCCUCGGAUGUGGGAGGUUAUGGGUUCGAUCCCUGGUUGAGUCAUAAUA